GGCGGCGUGCUUAACACAUGCAAGUCGAACGGGCUUAGAUCGGAAGCUUGCUUUUGAUUUAAGUUAGUGGCGGACGGGUGAGUAACGCGUGGGUAACCUACCCUGUGGCAGGGGGAUAGCAGCUGGAAACGGCUGAUAAAACCGCAUAACACGGCGAUGCCGCAUGGCAAUGCCGUCAAAUAUUUAUAGGCACAGGGAUGGGCCCGCGUCUGAUUAGCUAGUUGGCGGGGCAACGGCCCACCAAGGCGACGAUCAGUAGCCGGCCUGAGAGGGUGAACGGCCACAUUGGGACUGAGACACGGCCCAAACUCCUACGGGAGGCAGCAGUGGGGAAUAUUGGACAAUGGGGGGAAACCCUGAUCCAGCGGAACCGCCGCGUGAGUGAAGAAGUAUUUCGGUAUGUAAAGCUCUAUCAGCAGGGAAGAUGAUGACGGUACCUGACUAAGAAGCACCGGCUAAAUACGUGCCAGCCGCCGC
RNAcentral lists this ribosomal RNA (477 nucleotides) under uncultured bacterium. Its description in RNAcentral is "bacterial SSU rRNA". It matches the Rfam family "Bacterial small subunit ribosomal RNA", at positions 38 to 518 of the family's 1533-position model. The record is from RNAcentral.